RNAcentral lists this ribosomal RNA (252 nucleotides) under uncultured bacterium. RNAcentral's name for it is "partial 16S ribosomal RNA". It matches the Rfam family "Bacterial small subunit ribosomal RNA", at positions 524 to 776 of the family's 1533-position model. The record is from RNAcentral.
UACAUAGGUGUCGAGCGUUAUCCGGAUUUACUGGGCGUAAAGAGUGCGCAGGCGAUUGCACAAGUUGAAAGUUAAAUACUGAGGCUCAACCUCAGCUAGCUUUCAAAACUGUUCAAUUAGACUGUAGGAGAGGUAAGCGGAAUUCCAAGUGUAGCGGUGGAAUGCGUAGAUAUUUGGAGGAACACCAAUGGCGAAGGCAGCUUACUGGACAACAACUGACGCUGAGGCACGAAAGCGUGGGUAGCGAAAGGG